UUCGUAAAAUUUGUUUGAGCGUUUUUCGAAAACGGUUUGACGAAUCAAUUUGAUUUGCAUAACUUUUGGUCAGCACUGCCUGAAGAUGAUCUGGUUCAAUUUUCGUGUGAAUCGGACAAACCGUCUAGGACGAGUUCGAAAAAGUAGGUUUUUCAAAGAAUUCAAAAUGGCGGCCAUAUUUCUAUGACGGAAAAUGACGGCAUAGGGUGCAAUCGAAUUGGCAUGAGCUCAGAAAUCAGAGGAAAAAAGAAUUUUGUUGAUUGGACUUACGGUUAAAAAGUUAUUAACAAAAUUAAAGUGAAAUUUCGGACAGUUGGUGGCGCUAGAGGGAAUGUCUUAGACACACCAAAUUUGGUGUACUAAAUGUUGGCACUGUCCUCUAUCAGAAUGUCAAACCAAAACAACUUUCCCGCAUUCGGUUCUAUGGGCUGCCAUAGACUCCCAGUCGGAAGAAUAAUAAUAAUAAUAAUAAUAAUAAAUAUAGCUGCAAGCAGCAAUUACGGGGCCAAGCACUCCAACGGCAAAUGUAGGAGCUAAGCAUCGCAUGAAGCAUCACACCAAAUUCAUUAAUGAGCAAUAACAGCAAUUUUGGAAUUAUUGUAAUUGAAAUGGCAAAAAAAAAUCAUAAUACCACCUCUAGUAGCAUGAUUACUUGGCUUAUCAAGCUUGACCAAUAGGUGGCACUGUUAUAAAAUCAAUUUGGUGUACUCUGUGUGACUUUUCAAUGACACACACAAAGUUUGGUGUCAAUAUGCCAAAGCAUUCCAGGGAUACAGCCUCAAGUGUCAUUUUCUCAUUGUGCCGCAAAUUCGUCGAUGUGGUAUGCGAAAACGGUUUUGUCUAUCGACUCAAAAGCCAUAACUUUGAGUCAGCAUAGUCUGAAGAUCAUUUGAUUCGAAUUUGGUGAAAAUCGGACCUACGGUUGAUGAGGAGUUCGACAAAGUAGGUUUUCAACAUAAAUCAAAAUGGCGGUCCGGAAGUUCAGCUUACUAUGGUAUAUUUGGUAUCUAUGUUAUCGGCAUAAACCAGGGAAUAUUUUGAGCCCAGUUCCAUUCGAAUGGGCUAAUGCAAUAAAAAGUUAUUAGCAUUUUUACAAGUGUAAUUAUUCAUGGUUAAUGAAUGGUUUAUUACUCUUGACCAAUAGGUGGCGCUGUCACCAAAUUUCUGUGGCAUGGUCAGUGUGAGGUGGCGAUGACACAUACAAAAUUUGGUGCAAAUAUGUCAAAGCGUUGCAGAGAUACAGCCUCAAAUGCAUUUUGGCACCCUUCCAGCAAAUUCGUUGAUGCGCUAAAUGAGAACUGUUUCGUAUAUCGACACGAAAUCCAUAACUUUUUGCCAGCAUGGUCUGAAGAUGAUUCACGUCAAAUUUGGUGAAAAUUGGACUAACGGUCUAGGAGGAGUUCGAAAAAGUAGGUUUUCAACAUUAAGCAAAAUGGCGGACAGGAAGUAAGGCCAAUUUUCACAUAAUUGGUAUCAAUGCUCUCGGCAUGACCCACAGAAUAUAGCGAGAUCAUUUUAAUUUUAAUAGUCUAAUUUAUUCAAAAGUUAUUAGCAUUUAUGUGAUAUUUCAUUAUAACUAUUGGCCACAAGGUGGCGCUGCCACCAAACUUUUUGAGUACCUUCAGGGCAUGGAGCCGAAUAUUUUUGUAAUUAUUUGCGAAACGAUACGAUGCUGCGUUCAAAAAAUACAGCAUUUUAAAACAUAAUUCAAAAUGGCCGACGCUUAAAAUGGCCGACACAGGAAAAUUGGAUAUCAUUCGACUCGCCAUGACUCACUGAAUCUAAAGAGACCAGUUGUGUGAUUUUUUGCCAAACCAAUCAGAAGUUAUAAGCCAAAAUAUGCAUUUUUCAUAUCUCCUGACCACUAGGUGGCGCUGUGUUGAAACACUGCAGGUAGUCUCAGGUCAUGCUUAUUAUAACACACACCAAGUUUGGUCUCAAUAUGCCAAACCGUUGCUGAGAUAUAGCCUCACGUGUAUUUUUGCGUGCUUUUCAUCAUAUUUUUUCACAUGUCAUUCGAGAACGGUUGGAGGAAUCAACUUGAAUUCCAUAACUUUUAGCCAACAUGGUCUGAAGAUGAUCUGAGCCAAUUUUCGUGAAAAUCGGACAAACCGUCUAGGACGAGUUCGAAAAAGUAUGUUUUUCGAACAAUCGAAAAUAGCGGAAAAACUAAACCUUGCGAUUUUUGAAUUUUGGGGUUCAUUCGACUUGGCAUGAGCCAAGGAUUCAGAGGAAAAAAGAAUUUCCAUUUUCUGGCUUACGGUUCAAAAGUUAUUAGCAUACAAACAUUGAAAGUUUGGACAAGUGGUGGCGCUAGAGAGUAGGAGUUAGAGACUUCAAAUUAGCUAUAGUUAAUGUUGGGACUGUCCUCUAUCAGUGUGCCAAAUUAUACAACUUUCCCGCAAUCGGUUCUAUGGGCUGCCAUAGACUUGCGGCGGAAGAAGAAGAAGAAGAAUAAUAACGCCAACGAAAACAAUAGGUGCCUACGCACCUUCGGUGCUUGGCCCCUAAUAAUAAUAAGAACCGGAACAAAAACAAUAGGUGCCUCGCACCUUCGGUGC
Molecule: long non-coding RNA, 2561 nt
Organism: Carassius gibelio (silver crucian carp)
Lineage: Eukaryota; Metazoa; Chordata; Actinopteri; Cypriniformes; Cyprinidae
Exons: 3
Source: RefSeq, a predicted model, not a curated record